This 377-nucleotide ribosomal RNA is filed under the name uncultured bacterium. RNAcentral describes it as "bacterial SSU rRNA". It matches the Rfam family "Bacterial small subunit ribosomal RNA", at positions 523 to 898 of the family's 1533-position model. The record is from RNAcentral.
AUACGUAGGUGGCGAGCGUUGUCCGGAAUUACUGGGCGUAAAGGGCGCGUAGGCGGCCAAUUAAGUCAGAUGUGAAAACCCCAGGCUUAACUUGGGGAGUGCAUUUGAAACUGGAUGGCUAGAGUGUCGGAGAGGGAAGCGGAAUUCCUAGUGUAGCGGUGAAAUGCGUAGAUAUUAGGAGGAACACCAGUGGCGAAGGCGGCUUUCUGGACGAUAACUGACGCUGAGGCGCGAAAGCGUGGGGAGCAAACAGGAUUAGAUACCCUGGUAGUCCACGCUGUAAACGAUGGAUACUAGGUGUGGGAGGUAUCGACCCCUUCCGUGCCGCAGUAAACGCAAUAAGUAUCCCGCCUGGGGAGUACGGCCGCAAGGUUGAA